Non-coding RNA from Haemonchus placei, 74 nucleotides. Lineage: Eukaryota; Metazoa; Nematoda; Chromadorea; Rhabditida; Trichostrongylidae. The record is from Rfam.
GGCCCAGAUUUGGAGUAGAGUAGAUUAGAAGGAUCAUCUGACCCUUCUGACUACUCUACUUCAAAUUUGUGCCC